UGGGGAAUUUUGCACAAUGGGCGCAAGCCUGGUGCAGCCAUGCCGCGUGUAUGAAGAAGGCCUUCGGGUUGUAAAGUACUUUCAGUCGGGAGGAAGGUGGUAAGGUUAAUAACCUUAUCAAUUGACGUUACCGACAGAAGAAGCACCGGCUAACUCCGUGCCAGCAGCCGCGGUAAUACGGAGGGUGCAAGCGUUAAUCGGAAUUACUGGGCGUAAAGCGCACGCAGGCGGUUUGUUAAGUCAGAUGUGAAAUCCUCGGGCUCAACCUGGGAACUGCAUCUGAUAAUGGAAAGCUUGAGUCUCGUAGAGGGGGGUAGAAUUCCAGGUGUGGCGGUGAAAUGCGUAGAGAUCUGGAGGAAUACCGGUGGCGAAGGCGGCCCCCUGGACGAAGACUGACGCUCAGGUGCGAAAGCGUGGGGGGCAAACAGG
Molecule: ribosomal RNA, 429 nt
Filed under: Chloroflexota bacterium
Lineage: Bacteria; Bacillati; Chloroflexota
Description: Chloroflexi bacterium partial 16S ribosomal RNA
Rfam family: Bacterial small subunit ribosomal RNA
Source: RNAcentral